AUUGAACGCUGGCGGCAUGCCUAACACAUGCAAGUCGAACGGUAACACAGUGCGAGCUUGCUCUUACGGGUGGCGAGUGGCGGAAGGGUGCGGAAUGCGUCCGGAUCUACUUUUUCGUGGGGCGUAACGUAGGGAAAUAUACCAUACUACCGCAUACGACCUACGGGUGAACGCAAGGGAUCUUCGGACCUUGCGCGAUUGUAUGAGCCGAUGUCGGAUUAGCUAGUUGGCGGGGUAAAGGCCCACCAAGGCGACGAUCCGUAGCUGGUCUGAGAGGAUGAUCAGCCACACUGGAACUGAGACACGGUCCAGACUCCUACGGGAGGCAGCAGUGGGGAAUAUUGGACAAUGGGCGCAAGCCUGAUCCAGCAAUACCGCGUGGGUGAAGAAGGCCUUCGGGUUGUAAAGCCCUUUUGUUGGGAAAGAAAAGCAGCAGGUUAAUACCCCGCGGUUCUGACGGUACCCAAAGAAUAAGCACCGGCUAACUACGUG
This 492-nucleotide ribosomal RNA is filed under the name uncultured bacterium. RNAcentral's name for it is "partial 16S ribosomal RNA". It matches the Rfam family "Bacterial small subunit ribosomal RNA", at positions 30 to 507 of the family's 1533-position model. The record is from RNAcentral.